GACGAACGCUGGCGGCGUGCUUAACACAUGCAAGUCGAACGGAAAGGCCCUGCUUUUGUGGGGUGCUCGAGUGGCGAACGGGUGAGUAACACGUGAGUAACCUGCCCUUGACUUUGGGAUAACUUCAGGAAACUGGGGCUAAUACCGGAUAGGAGCUCCUGCUGCAUGGUGGGGGUUGGAAAGUUUCGGCGGUUGGGGAUGGACUCGCGGCUUAUCAGCUUGUUGGUGGGGUAGUGGCUUACCAAGGCUUUGACGGGUAGCCGGCCUGGGAGGGUGACCGGCCACAUUGGGACUGAGAUACGGCCCAGACUCCUACGGGAGGCAGCAGUGGGGAGUAUUGCACAAUGGGCGGAAGCCUGAUGCAGCGGCGCCGCGUGCGGGAUGACGGCCUUCGGGUUGUAAACCGCUUUCGCCUGUGACGAAGCGUGAGUGACGGUAAUGGGUAAAGAAGCACCGGCUAACUACGUG
This 468-nucleotide ribosomal RNA is filed under the name uncultured bacterium. RNAcentral's name for it is "partial 16S ribosomal RNA". It matches the Rfam family "Bacterial small subunit ribosomal RNA", at positions 28 to 507 of the family's 1533-position model. The record is from RNAcentral.